This 72-nucleotide transfer RNA is filed under the name Camelus bactrianus (Bactrian camel). It matches the Rfam family "tRNA". Rfam says of the family: Transfer RNA (tRNA) molecules are approximately 80 nucleotides in length. Their secondary structure includes four short double-helical elements and three loops (D, anti-codon, and T loops). RNAcentral also lists the same sequence under 1 other name. Lineage: Eukaryota; Metazoa; Chordata; Mammalia; Artiodactyla; Camelidae. The record is from Rfam by way of RNAcentral.
GAGGGUAUAGCUUAGUAGUAGAGCACACGCUUAGCGUGCACGAGGUCCUGGGUUCAAUCCCCAGUACCUACA